UAGUCAUAUGCUUGUCUUAAGGAUUAAGCCAUGCAUGUCUCAGUACAAGCGAUCUUGUACCGUGAAACUGCGAAUGGCUCAUUACAACAGUUAUAGUUUAUUUGAUCGUGCGGAGCUACGUGGAUAACCGUAGGAAUUCUAGAGCUAAUACAUGCACCGUCGCCGAAGAUCUAACCAUAGACUUUGGCGGGAUUUAUUAGAUCAAAAACCGAUCGCUUCCUGUUUUUUUUACAGUAAGCGUGGCGGGAUGAAUCAUAAUAACUUAACCGAAUCACAUGGCCGUGAUUUUGGCCGGUGAUAAAUCAUUCAAAUUUCUGCCCUAUCAACUUUCGAUGGUAGGGUAGUGGCCUACCAUGGUGUUGACGGGUAACGGAGAAUUAGGGUUCGAUUCCGGAGAGGGAGCCUGAGAAACGGCUACCACAUCCAAGGAAGGCAGCAGGCGCGCAAAUUACCCAAUCCUGAUUCAGGGAGGUAGCGACAAGAAAUAACGAUAGCGGGCUCGUUCGAGUCCGCGCAUCGGAAAGAGGAUAAUUUACACCCCUUCUCGAGGACCCAUU
This 557-nucleotide ribosomal RNA is filed under the name uncultured eukaryote. Its description in RNAcentral is "SSU rRNA". It matches the Rfam family "Eukaryotic small subunit ribosomal RNA", at positions 21 to 549 of the family's 1831-position model. The record is from RNAcentral.